GAUGAAGAACGUAGCGAAAUGCGAUAAGUAAUGUGAAUUGCAGAGUUCAGUGAAUCAUCGAAUCUUUGAACGCACAUUGCGCCCGCCAGUAUUCUGGCGGGCAUGCCUGUCCGAGCGUCAUUGCUGCCCUCAAGCACGGCUUGUGUGUUGGGCCCCGUCCUCCGAUCCCGGGGGACGGGCCCGAAAGGCAGCGGCGGCACCGCGUCCGGUCCUCGAGCGUAUGGGGCUUUGUCACCCGCUCUGUAGGCCCGGCCGGCGCUUGCCGAUCAACCCAAAUUUUUAUCCAGGUUGACCUCGGAUCAGGUAGGGAUACCCGCUGAACUUAAGCAUAUCAAUAAGCGGAGGA
RNAcentral lists this unclassified non-coding RNA (346 nucleotides) under soil metagenome. RNAcentral's name for it is "partial contains 5.8S ribosomal RNA, internal transcribed spacer 2, and large subunit ribosomal RNA". The stretch from base 1 to 120 matches the Rfam family "5.8S ribosomal RNA", at positions 35 to 154 of the family's 154-position model. The record is from RNAcentral.